ACACUAAACUGCAAUUGUUGAUUAUGGGCAGUCUACCUCAAGUGAAAGAACCAUCCAGGUCAAAGGAGAGAAGAUGGGCCAGGCCUGGGCUCUUCAUCAACGUAUUUGUUUUGGUAUGUAAUGCUUGUCCUGCAGGCUGUGUAAUGGCUCUAAUAAAAUGUCUUUCUAACUGUAUAGCAUGCCUGAGUUGUCUGCCCUGGAGAAUAAUUUGGAUCCUUAUUUGCUGUUGCCCAAUGUGUUUGUAUUGCUAAAUAACAUUGGCCUGUGUAUGCAAGAAGAUGCAAUCUAGUUAGUGUUUCAAAGAAUUUUUUAGAAUGAGUUGGGCAAAGCAGUGUUGGGAUUCCACGCAGGACGGUCCAGCGAAGACAACAGGCUCCUGCCUCAGGUAGUGGUCCUUCUAGAGCUCCUGCGAUAGUGGAAAUUACCAGCAGUCUUGAGUGAACGGACGGUCCAGAGAAGACAACAGGUUCCUGGUUCAGGCUCCCUAGGAGUGGCCAAGCAACUUCAGCCUCCUGUGAAAAUUGCUUGCUGACUUGAGGAUUUGAGUGAUAGUUGAGUCCUUUUCUCCAGUACUGCUGAUGUCAUGCAGGCUGUGCGACAGUCCUAAUACUAUCUUCUGUUUAGAAGGCCGGACUGUUUUAUGUGUUUGCUGACCAUCUGCUUCUAACAUGUACUGAACUACACAGUAAUUUUAAUAUUUGCAGUUUCCCAUCUGUGUGUAAAAAGAUACUAACUUGUCAGUGUUUAAAUAUUUCUGGUUGGGUAAAGUACUGUUGCGCUACCACGCAGGACGCUCCUGCCAACUUAACAAUGUGAGUAACAGGUAAGAAAUUUCCCAGUAGAAUUCAACACUCUACAGGCUUUUCCAGAUCUCGUUGACCAUAUGACAGGAUUUGGCAGAAGGUAAGACUAUUUAUUUUGACAUUUUUUUUAGGGGCUAAGUGUGGGCUAGGGUUAGCGGGGGCUAAGUGUGGGCUAGGGUUAGCGGGGCCUAAGUGAGGGCUAGGG
Long non-coding RNA from Gasterosteus aculeatus aculeatus (three-spined stickleback), 1008 nucleotides. Lineage: Eukaryota; Metazoa; Chordata; Actinopteri; Perciformes; Gasterosteidae. The record is from Ensembl.